UAAAAGUAACUUUUCUUCAUCAGAUGUAA
This 29-nucleotide non-coding RNA is filed under the name Rattus norvegicus (Norway rat). The record is from RNAcentral. Lineage: Eukaryota; Metazoa; Chordata; Mammalia; Rodentia; Muridae.